GUUGAGUUGAGUUGAGUUGUUGAGAGACUGAUUGUUCUAUGCUAACUUCUGGUAUAAAUUUUAUUUCCCUUUUUAGGCUGGUGGUGAUCCCUUAUAAAAGCCUAAUAAGAGGGAAGGAGAAACUAACAAAACUGCAUAAAACUAAUAAAUAGAAUGGGGAAAAAAAAUCUUCACAUAUGAGCACACACAAAGUUUUAAGGUUCUCCAACAAACUAGCCCGGUCCCAUUACACCAUAUUUGAAAAUUAACAAGAUUUCUGGAUAAAGACAAACAACAAAAGAUGUCACUGCAUGCUAGUGUUAUGCAAAUGAUGAAAGGUUUAAUACCUCUUUGGUACUACAAUCACUU
RNAcentral lists this unclassified non-coding RNA (348 nucleotides) under Hevea brasiliensis (rubber tree). The record is from RNAcentral. Lineage: Eukaryota; Viridiplantae; Streptophyta; Magnoliopsida; Malpighiales; Euphorbiaceae.